This 253-nucleotide ribosomal RNA is filed under the name uncultured bacterium. Its description in RNAcentral is "partial 16S ribosomal RNA". It matches the Rfam family "Bacterial small subunit ribosomal RNA", at positions 524 to 776 of the family's 1533-position model. The record is from RNAcentral.
UACGUAGGUGGCAAGCGUUGUUCGGAUUUAUUGGGCGUAAAGGGCAUGUAGGCGGUUAUAUAAGUGUGAAUUGAAAGGCGCAGGCUUAACCUGUUGUUUGGUUUGCAAACUGUAUGACUAGAGUGUAGAAUGGGAAACUGGAAUUCCGCGUGUAGGGGUGAAAUCUGUAGAUAUGCGGAAGAAUACUUGUGGCGAAGGCGAGUUUCUGGUCUAUAACUGACGCUAAAAUGCGAAAGUGUGGGGAGCAAACAGG